AGAGUUUGAUCAUGGCUCAGGACGAACGCUGGCGGCGUGCUUAACACAUGCAAGUCGAGCGGAAAGGCCUCCUUCGGGGGGUACUCGAGCGGCGAACGGGUGAGUAACACGUGAGUGAUCUGCCCCCUACUCUGGGAUAACUGCCUGAAAGGGUGGCUAAUACCGGAUGUGACUGACUGCUGCAUGGUGGUUGGUGGAAAGGUUUUUUCUGGUGGGGGAUGUGCUCGCGGCCUAUCAGCUUGUUGGUGGGGUAAUGGCCUACCAAGGCUUUGACGGGUAGCCGGCCUGAGAGGGUGACCGGCCACACUGGGACUGAGACACGGCCCAGACUCCUACGGGAGGCAGCAGUGGGGAAUAUUGGACAAUGGGCGGAAGCCUGAUCCAGCAACGCCGCGUGAGGGAUGACGGCCUUCGGGUUGUAAACCUCUUUCAGCACAGGCGAAGCUGCCACUACGUGUGGUGGUGGUGACGGUAUGUGCAGAAGAAGCACCGGCCAACUACGUGCCAGCCGCCGCGGUAAUAC
Molecule: ribosomal RNA, 523 nt
Filed under: uncultured bacterium
Lineage: Bacteria
Description: bacterial SSU rRNA
Rfam family: Bacterial small subunit ribosomal RNA
Source: RNAcentral